This 642-nucleotide ribosomal RNA is filed under the name uncultured beta proteobacterium. Its description in RNAcentral is "bacterial SSU rRNA". It matches the Rfam family "Bacterial small subunit ribosomal RNA", at positions 71 to 702 of the family's 1533-position model. The record is from RNAcentral. Lineage: Bacteria; Pseudomonadati; Pseudomonadota; Betaproteobacteria.
GGGAGGAGCUUGCUCCACCCUGACGACGAGUGGCGAACGGGUGAGUAAUACAUCGGAACGUGUCCGCUCGUGGGGGACAACCAGCCGAAAGGUUGGCUAAUACCGCAUGAGUUCUACGGAAGAAAGAGGGGGACCCGCAAGGGCCUCUCGCGAGCGGAGCGGCCGAUGACUGAUUAGCCAGUUGGUGAGGUAACGGCUCACCAAAGCAACGAUCAGUAGCUGGUCUGAGAGGACGACCAGCCACACUGGGACUGAGACACGGCCCAGACUCCUACGGGAGGCAGCAGUGGGGAAUUUUGGACAAUGGGCGCAAGCCUGAUCCAGCUAUUCCGCGUGUGGGAUGAAGGCCCUCGGGUUGUAAACCACUUUUGUAGAGAACGAAAAGACAUCUUCGAAUAAAGGAUGUUGCUGACGGUACUCUAAGAAUAAGCACCGGCUAACUACGUGCCAGCAGCCGCGGUAAUACGUAGGGUGCGAGCGUUAAUCGGAAUUACUGGGCGUAAAGGGUGCGCAGGCGGUUGAGUAAGACAGAUGUGAAAUCCCCGAGCUUAACUCGGGAAUGGCAUAUGUGACUGCUCGACUAGAGUGUGUCAGAGGGAGGUGGAAUUCCACGUGUAGCAGUGAAAUGCGUAGAUAUGUGGA